Molecule: small nuclear RNA, 103 nt
Organism: Manis pentadactyla (Chinese pangolin)
Lineage: Eukaryota; Metazoa; Chordata; Mammalia; Pholidota; Manidae
Source: RefSeq, a predicted model, not a curated record
GUGCUUGCUCUGCAGCACAGAUACUAAAAUUGGAACAGUAAGGAAGAUCAGCAUGGUCCCUAUGCAAGGGCGACACCAAAUUUGUGAAGCGUUCCAUAAAAAA